RNAcentral lists this transfer RNA (72 nucleotides) under Bos taurus (domestic cattle). It matches the Rfam family "tRNA". From Rfam's summary of the family: Transfer RNA (tRNA) molecules are approximately 80 nucleotides in length. Their secondary structure includes four short double-helical elements and three loops (D, anti-codon, and T loops). Lineage: Eukaryota; Metazoa; Chordata; Mammalia; Artiodactyla; Bovidae. The record is from Rfam by way of RNAcentral. RNAcentral also lists the same sequence under 2 other names.
UCCCUGGUAGCUCAGACGGUAAAGCGUCUACUUACAAUGCAGAAGACCUGGGUUCAAUUCCUGGGUUUGGAA